UCCCUCUUAGCUCAGUUGGUAGAGCGCGUCACUAGUAUAUAUGCAAAGUUGUAGUCUUAAUGACGAGGUCAGUCGUUCAAAUCGGCUAGCGGGAA
Mycena olivaceomarginata is the source of this 95-nucleotide non-coding RNA. NCBI's taxonomy places the organism in Eukaryota, Fungi, Basidiomycota, Agaricomycetes, Agaricales, Mycenaceae. The record is from the annotation of a GenBank genome assembly.